Symphalangus syndactylus (siamang) is the source of this 663-nucleotide long non-coding RNA. RefSeq lists it as uncharacterized. The record is from RefSeq and is a predicted model, not a curated record. Lineage: Eukaryota; Metazoa; Chordata; Mammalia; Primates; Hylobatidae.
AGAUGACAACCCAGCCCAUAAGCACCAGGAAAAUUAAGCAAAAAGCAGAAAGAAAAAAAGGAAAGAAGAAGUCUGGGAAUGAAGUUAUAUGCUUAAGGCCAUGCAUCUAGCAAAUGGCAAAAAAAUGGAUGAAGACACAGGACUGAUUGUCACUAAAAACCAUGUGGUGUGUUUGAGCAAGCCCUUCUCUAGAGAAGACCCAUAAAAUUUGACUCGUGAAGAGAGACAAAAAAAUUCAGGAGGCGAAAGUAAUAUGGGGAGAAAAUGAAAGAGAUUUAGUGCAGCUAUCAACCGACCGUUGUGCUGUCUUUAAGAGUCUGUUGAAACAACAUAAUAAAAGCUCAUUGACCCAGAAUUAGCAACAUGGCCCUUCCUAACUUGAAGGGACCAGGAAGAAUAGUCCUUCUAUGUGUCCCGAAGGAGAGAAGGACCAGAUAUGUGUGAUCAUGUCUCUAUUAUGGGAGAAAAGAGAAUUGAAAAGGAAAGAAGAUCCACAUAGUGUCGGAGGAGCUGAGACAAAAGAAAAGUAAGUCAUCUCAUUGAGCCUCAGUUUCUUCAUCUCUCAAAGAAAGAUGAACAUACCCACUGCACUAAGGGUGUCAUGAAGAUUACAUUAGAAAAAUGCACAUGAUAUCUUUAAAUCUCUUUGCCAAUAGCAAGACA